This 222-nucleotide ribosomal RNA is filed under the name uncultured bacterium. RNAcentral's name for it is "partial 16S ribosomal RNA". It matches the Rfam family "Bacterial small subunit ribosomal RNA", at positions 129 to 334 of the family's 1533-position model. The record is from RNAcentral.
CCUCCAAGAUGGGGACAACCUUCCGAAAGGAGGGCUAAUACCGAAUGAGACCACGAUUUCUACGGAAAUUGAGGUCAAAGGGUGGCCUCUACUUGUAAGCUAUCGCUUGGAGAUGAGCUUAUGCACCAUUAGCUAGUUGGUAAGGUAACGGCUUACCAAGGCUUUGAUGGUUAGCUGAUCUGAGAGGUUGAUCAGCCACACUGGAACUGAGACACGGUCCAG